UACGUAGGUGGCAAGCGUUGUCCGGAAUUAUUGGGCGUAAAGCGCGCGCAGGCGGUUCCUUAAGUCUGAUGUGAAAGCCCCCGGCUCAACCGGGGAGGGUCAUUGGAAACUGGGGAACUUGAGUGCAGAAGAGAAGAACGGAAUUCCACGUGUAGCGGUGAAAUGCGUAGAGAUGUGGAGGAACACCAGUGGCGAAGGCGGCUCUUUGGUCUGUAACUGACGCUGAGGCGCGAAAGCGUGGGGAGCAAACAGG
This 253-nucleotide ribosomal RNA is filed under the name uncultured bacterium. RNAcentral describes it as "partial 16S ribosomal RNA". It matches the Rfam family "Bacterial small subunit ribosomal RNA", at positions 524 to 776 of the family's 1533-position model. The record is from RNAcentral.